GGAUCCACUCCUUUCU
RNAcentral lists this ribosomal RNA (16 nucleotides) under Mycobacteroides immunogenum. RNAcentral describes it as "partial 16S ribosomal RNA". Lineage: Bacteria; Bacillati; Actinomycetota; Actinomycetes; Mycobacteriales; Mycobacteriaceae. The record is from RNAcentral.